AAUAAUGGUGUUAACGAGUUUGGAAACCUGAUCCGAAAGGGUUGGACAAACUGUUUCAUCACCAUUGUGAUUAAGAUCGAGGCUUGUAAUUAUUCCUCGUGAAA
Schistosoma curassoni is the source of this 104-nucleotide non-coding RNA. NCBI's taxonomy places the organism in Eukaryota, Metazoa, Platyhelminthes, Trematoda, Strigeidida, Schistosomatidae. The record is from Rfam.